UUGUUUUAAUUACACUUCUGCUGAUUUCAUAUUAUAAAUGAAUUGUGUUUGCCUUAAAAAUUGUUGCUAUAAAUUAGUUAUAAUUCUACUGUAACUAAUUAUAGAAAACUGGACAGAAUGGGUAUGUCAAAAUGCUUUACAAAACAAUAUUAAUAAAUAAUAAUUAAUUAGAUUUAUAGUGCACAUAUUCACUUUAGAAAGUUCCCAAGGCACUAGAGAUGGAACAUGAACUUGCAAGCAUAGAAAUUAACCUAUUAAAUGUCCUAAACUAAGCAGGAAAAACAAAAAAGAAAUCAACAUGUUGAUUCAUAGCUCACAACUAGAGCUCUAAUGGCGCUGUUGUCUGACUGUCCCAGCCUAUUCCACAUGACUAAAAAAAAUUAGAUAAAUAAAAUGGUGGAACUAUUUGGAAGCAACAACUAUCAAUAUGGCAGCCGCGGCGGCGAAAAUGUCGACGACGACAACAACAGUUAACAAUAUUUGUAUAGGACAUGCUAGAAAUCAUUUUUCACUGGGACUUAAAAAAUAAUAUAAUAAUUAUUGAUAAACUACACUAUUAUUAAUAUUAUGAGGUUUUCAAAAGUGUGUACUGUAUAUAGUAUAUAUCAUUACUUUGAUUAUAUGCACAAUUUUAGUAGAAUCGAUUCUCACCAGUAUCAAUAAAGCUUGUUAGCAAAGAUACUAUGGAUUAUACAUAAUAAAUAGCAGCUCAUUUUAAUGAUUAAAUAAUUGAUUUACUUUCAAUGUGAGACAGAUCUAAACACAUUUUCGUUCAACAGAACUUUUACUACUAAAAAAUAUUUAAAUUGAUUCUUGGCCAAUUUUAAUUCCCUACACAAAUAUAGCCUAACAAUGUUUUGUAUUUGUUGGUAACAUAUAUUUCCUUGUUCUAAUUGAAAUCGAAUGCUACUUGAAUGAGUAAGCAAUUCAAAUAUUGGAUUACAUACUCUUCAUUUUUCGUGUACACUGUAUAUUCGUUAAGCACAACACAUACCAUAUCUUAAUAUAUUAAACAAAUUGAAUUUCUUGUCUGGCUAGGUUAGUUGGCAAACAAAGUAAACAAAACAAUGUAUAAACAUUUACUGGCUGAUUGUUAAACUCACCAUUAUUUAAAGAAUUCAUUAUCACCUUUUAACAGAUCUUGUACACAUAGUAAAUUAUGAAAAAGAAAAACACCUUGUCUGGCUAGAUUAUUUUCAUAGAAAAUGAGUAUUAUAAACACAAAUGUAUAAAUUGAACUAUUAUUUUAAAUACAGUAAACGAAUUCAUAUUUCAUAAAAUUUGUGCACUCAAUUCAAAAGUUCCCUACUGUAUAAUAUUAGUAUAUUUUUGACUGGCUAAUACUUAAACUUGUUUUGAAAUCUGAAAUUGCCAUUCACACAUGAUUCAAAA
Anneissia japonica is the source of this 1392-nucleotide long non-coding RNA. RefSeq lists it as uncharacterized. Lineage: Eukaryota; Metazoa; Echinodermata; Crinoidea; Comatulida; Comatulidae. The transcript is spliced from 2 exons. The record is from RefSeq and is a predicted model, not a curated record.